Molecule: ribosomal RNA, 492 nt
Filed under: uncultured bacterium
Lineage: Bacteria
Description: partial 16S ribosomal RNA
Rfam family: Bacterial small subunit ribosomal RNA
Source: RNAcentral
AGUGAACGCUGGCGGUAGGCCUAACACAUGCAAGUCGAACGGCAGCACAGUAAGAGCUUGCUCUUACGGGUGGCGAGUGGCGGACGGGUGAGGAAUACAUCGGAAUCUACUUUUUCGUGGGGGAUAACGUAGGGAAACUUACGCUAAUACCGCAUACGACCUACGGGUGAAAGCAGGGGAUCUUCGGACCUUGCGCGAUUGAAUGAGCCGAUGUCGGAUUAGCUAGUUGGCGGGGUAAAGGCCCACCAAGGCGACGAUCCGUAGCUGGUCUGAGAGGAUGAUCAGCCAAACUGGGACUGAGACACGGUCCAGACUCCUACGGGAGGCAGCAGUGGGGAAUAUUGGACAAUGGGCGCAAGCCUGAUCCAGCCAUACCGCGUGGGUGAAGAAGGCCUUCGGGUUGUAAAGCCCUUUUGUUGGGAAAGAAAAGCAGCAGGUUAAUACCCCGCUGUUCUGACGGUACCCAAAGAAUAAGCACCGGCUAACUUCGUG